AGGGUUUGAUUAUGGCUCAGGACGAACGCUGGCGGCGUGCUUAACACAUGCAAGUCGAACGGAGAACUUUCUUCGGAAUGUUCUUAGUGGCGAACGGGUGAGUAACGCGUAGGCAACCUGCCCUCUGGUUGGGGACAACAUUCCGAAAGGGAUGCUAAUACCGAAUGAGAUCCUCUUUCCGCAUGGAGAGAGGAUGAAAGAUGGCCUCUACUUGUAAGCUAUCGCCAGAAGAUGGGCCUGCGUCUGAUUAGCUAGUAGGUGAGGUAACGGCUCACCUAGGCGAUGAUCAGUAGCCGGUCUGAGAGGAUGAACGGCCACAUUGGGACUGAGACACGGCCCAA
This 341-nucleotide ribosomal RNA is filed under the name uncultured bacterium. RNAcentral describes it as "bacterial SSU rRNA". It matches the Rfam family "Bacterial small subunit ribosomal RNA", at positions 8 to 334 of the family's 1533-position model. The record is from RNAcentral.